This 356-nucleotide ribosomal RNA is filed under the name uncultured bacterium. RNAcentral describes it as "bacterial SSU rRNA". It matches the Rfam family "Bacterial small subunit ribosomal RNA", at positions 527 to 881 of the family's 1533-position model. The record is from RNAcentral.
GGAAGGUCCGGGCGUUAUCCGGAUUUAUUGGGUUUAAAGGGAGCGUAGGCCGGAGAUUAAGCGUGUUGUGAAAUGUAGACGCUCAACGUCUGCACUGCAGCGCGAACUGGUUUCCUUGAGUACGCACAAAGUGGGCGGAAUUCGUGGUGUAGCGGUGAAGUGCUUAGAUAUCACGAAGAACUCCGAUUGCGAAGGCAGCUCACUGGAGCGCAACUGACGCUGAAGCUCGAAAGUGCGGGUAUCGAACAGGAUUAGAUACCCUGGUAGUCCAUGCCGUAAACGAUGAAUACUAGGUGUAGGAGGUAUCGACCCCUUCUGUGCCGCAGCUAACGCAAUAAGUAUUCCGCCUGGGGAGU